UUGCUUCAGCAGCACAUAUGCUAAAAUUGGAACGAUGCAGAGAAGAUUAGCAUUGGCCCCUGCACAAGGAUGACAUGCAAAUUAGUGAAGUGUAUCAUAUUUUU
Chlorocebus sabaeus (green monkey) is the source of this 104-nucleotide small nuclear RNA. Lineage: Eukaryota; Metazoa; Chordata; Mammalia; Primates; Cercopithecidae. The record is from Ensembl.